UACGUAGGGUGCGAGCGUUGUCCGGAAUUAUUGGGCGUAAAGGGCUCGUAGGCGGUUUGUCACGUCAGGAGUGAAAACUCGGGGCUCAACCCCCGAGCCUGCUUCUGAUACGGGCAGACUGGAGGUAUGCAGGGGAGAACGGAAUUCCUGGUGUAGCGGUGAAAUGCGCAGAUAUCAGGAGGAACACCGGUGGCGAAGGCGGUUCUCUGGGCAUUACCUGACGCUGAGGAGCGAAAGUGUGGGGAGCGAACAGG
Molecule: ribosomal RNA, 254 nt
Filed under: uncultured bacterium
Lineage: Bacteria
Description: partial 16S ribosomal RNA
Rfam family: Bacterial small subunit ribosomal RNA
Source: RNAcentral